RNAcentral lists this ribosomal RNA (497 nucleotides) under uncultured bacterium. RNAcentral's name for it is "partial 16S ribosomal RNA". It matches the Rfam family "Bacterial small subunit ribosomal RNA", at positions 28 to 507 of the family's 1533-position model. The record is from RNAcentral.
GAUGAACGCUGGCGGCGUGCCUAAUACAUGCAAGUCGAGCGAACAGACGAGGAGCUUGCUCCUCUGACGUUAGCGGCGGACGGGUGAGUAACACGUGGAUAACCUACCUAUAAGACUGGGAUCACUUCGGGAAACCGGAGCUAAUACCGGAUAAUAUAUUGAACCGCAUGGUUCAAUAGUGAAAGACGGUUUUGCUGUCACUUCUAGAUGGAUCCGCGCCGCAUUAGCUAGUUGGUAAGGUAACGGCUUACCAAGGCGACAAUGCGUAGCCGCCCUGAGAGGGUGAUCGACCACACUGGCACUGAGACACGGCCCAGACUCCGACGGGAGGCAGCAGGCGGGAAUCUUCCGCAAAGGGCGAAAGGCUGACGGAGCAACGCCGGGUGAGUGAUGAAGGUGUACGGAUCGGAAAACUCUGUUAUUAGGGGAGAACAAAUGUGUAAGUAACUAUGCACGUCUUGACGGUACCUAAUCAGAAAGCCACGGCUAACUACGUG